GUGCCAGCAGCCGCGGUAAAACGUAGGAGACAAACGUUAUCCGGAGUUACUGGGCGUAAAGGGCGUGUAGGUGGUUGCGUAAGUCUGGCGUGAAAUUUUUCGGCUUAACCGGGAAAGGUCGUCGGAUACUGCGUAGCUAGAGGACGGUAGAGGCGUGUGGAAUUCCGGGUGUAGUGGUGAAAUGCGUAGAGAUCCGGAGGAACACCAGUGGCGAAGGCGACACGCUGGGCCGUACCUGACACUGAUGCGCGACAGCAUGGGGAGCAAACAGGAUUAGAAACCCUUGUAGUCC
Molecule: ribosomal RNA, 292 nt
Filed under: uncultured bacterium
Lineage: Bacteria
Description: partial 16S ribosomal RNA
Rfam family: Bacterial small subunit ribosomal RNA
Source: RNAcentral